GGUUCGAUUAUGGCUCAGAUUGAACGCUGGCGGGAUGCUUUACACAUGCAAGUCGAACGGCAGCACGGACUUCGGUCUGGUGGCGAGUGGCGAACGGGUGAGUAAUGUAUCGGAACGUGCCUAAAGUAGCGGGGGAUAACUACGCGAAAGCGUAGCUAAUACCGCAUACGCCCUUCGGGGAAAGCGGGGGACCUUCGGGCCUCGCACUAUUAGAGCGGCCGAUAUCGGAUUAGCUAGUUGGUGGAGUAACGGCUCACCAAGGCGACGAUCCGUAGCUGGUUUGAAGAGAGGACGACCAGCCACACUGGGACUGAGACGGCAGACUCCUACGGGAGGCAGCAGUGGGGAAUUUUGGACAAUGGGGAAACCCUGAUCCAGCCAUCCCGCGUGUGCGAUGAAGGCCUUCGGGUUGUAAAGCACUUUUGGCAGGGAAAGAAACGGCACGGGAUAAUACCCCGUGCAACUGACGGUACCGCAGAAUAAGCACCGGCUAACUACGUGCCAGCAGCCGCGGUAAUACGUAGGGUGCAAGCGUUAAUCGGAAUUACUGGGCGUAAAGCGUGCGCAGGCGGUUCGGAAGAAAGAUGUGAAAUCCCAGAGCUUAACUUUGGAACUGCAUUUUUAACUACCGAGCUAGAGUGUGUCCAGGAGGUGGAAUUCCGCGUGUAGCAGUGAAAUGCGUAGAUAUGCGGAGGAACACCGAUGGCGAAGGCAGCCUCCUGGGAUAACACUGACGCUCAUGCACGAAAAGCGUGGGGAGCAAACAGGAUUAGAUACCCUGGUAGUCCACGCCUAAACGAUGUCAACUAGCUGUUGGGGCCUUCGGGCCUUGGUAGCGCAACGCGUGAAGUUGACCGCCUGGGGAGAGUACGGUCGCAAGAUUAAAACUCAAAGGAAUUGACAGGGACCCGCACAAGCGGUGGAUGAUGUGGAUUAAUUCGAUGCAACGCGAAAAGCCUUACCUACCCUUGACAUGUCUAGGUCGAAGAGAUUUGGGAGUGCUCGCAAGAGAACCGGAACACAGGUGCUGCAUGGCUGUCGUCAGCUCGUGUCGUGAGAUGUUGGGUUAAGUCCCGCAACGAGCGCAACCCUUGUCGUGGAUUUGCUACGAAAGGGCACUCUAAUGAGACUGCCGGUGACAAACCGGAGGAAGGUGGGGAUGACGUCAAGUCCUCAUGGCCCUUAUGGGUAGGGCUUCACACACGUCAUACAAUGGUCGGGACAGAGGGUCGCCAACCCGCGAGGGGAGCCAAUCCCAGAAACCCGAUCGUAGUCCGGAUCGCAGUCUGCAACUCGACUGCGUGAAGUCGGAAUCGCUAGUAAUCGCGGAUCAGCAUGUCGCGGUGAAUACGUUCCCGGGUCUUGUACACACCGCCCGUCACACCAUGGGAGUGGGUUUUACCAGAAGUAGUUAGCCUAACCGUAAGGAGGGCGGUCGUAGGAUUCAUGACUGGGGUGAAGUCGUAACAAAGGUAG
Molecule: ribosomal RNA, 1476 nt
Filed under: uncultured Bordetella sp.
Lineage: Bacteria; Pseudomonadati; Pseudomonadota; Betaproteobacteria; Burkholderiales; Alcaligenaceae
Description: partial 16S-23S ribosomal RNA intergenic spacer
Rfam family: Bacterial small subunit ribosomal RNA
Source: RNAcentral